UACAAGGGGCGAAAGUUCUGAUAACUCUUGCGUCUUUGUUGUGAAACACGGGAACGCCAACUUUCCGAGUUGACGUUUGUCAAUUAAGUCCUCCGUCCCCACCCCCAGUCUCAGUCUGGCUGUCUCGCUGGAGUCCACGCAGACCAUGACUGGCCAAAACAUACAGCCCGUCUGCACUCCGAAAUGAAAAAAGAGACUGGCUCGCGAGGCUACACACACACAGACGGAGCGGACAGCACGACAGAGAGGCCACGGUGGAGACUGAACCAGCUCCAACCUCCCGGUCCUGCCCGUCCUUCGCCGGCCUCCCAGUCCCCAGUCCAGCUCCGCCACCGAAGCCAGAGGAAUCCCAUCCUGCGCCACGCCAAGCCGGAUCCCGGACCAUCUCCUCACCAACCCUCACGGUCCCUGCUUCAAGUCUGCCCUGGUUCCUACCGCCCCCUGCUGUGUAAUCAAACUUCUCUCUGAAUUCCAUAACACUGCUAUCUUUGAGUCCUGCAUUUUGGGCCCUGCCAAGCACGGAACGUAACAGUUUGUUGCCUUAAAAUUGAGUUGUUCCAACUUUCCUUUUUUACAGUGUAGGAAACUAAAAAAUGACACCAUAAUGUUACCCCUGACCUCACCCUCUAUGUUUGUGCCUCCAGGAAGGGCACAUACACUGGGUAAAUUCAGCAUGCUUGCAAUGCAAAUGAAAUAAAACAAAGAUAACAAAAACAAACAAAACAAAAACUAUAGCUCUAUAGCUUUUGGGGUAAUGCAACUUAUGCCAUUUACAGACCCUAAAGAGAUUUUUUCAGAGAAAAUCAUUAGUGAGGUGUGCAAUCAACUCUUAGGAUGUUGGACUGUGAAUAUACAAUAUUUGUUAUGUGAAAACAAGUGCUUGAUAUUAAAAUUAGGCAAUGAUUUCUGGGGUAAUGAUUCAUGUUGGCAAUAAAGAAUGAAAGUUAGAGAAAUUAAACUAUUUAAAGGAUGGUUUUCUAUGCA
This is a long non-coding RNA of Anguilla anguilla (European eel), 984 nucleotides long. RefSeq lists it as uncharacterized. The record is from RefSeq and is a predicted model, not a curated record. NCBI's taxonomy places the organism in Eukaryota, Metazoa, Chordata, Actinopteri, Anguilliformes, Anguillidae. The transcript has 3 exons.